GAUGAACGCUGGCGGCGUGCCUAAUACAUGCAAGUCGAGCGGACAGACGAGGCUUUUGCUUGUCUUACGUUAGCGGCGGGCGGGUGAGGCACACGAGUCUACCUUGCCUAUGGGACUGGGAUCACUUCGGGAACCCGGAUCUCACACCGGAUCAGAUGUUGAACCGCGGGGUUCUUUGGACAAAGACGGUUUUGCUGUCACUUAUCGAUGGUUCCUGGCCGGAUGAGCUAGUUGGUAGGGUAACGGCUUACCAAGGCUACGAUGCGUAGCCGACCUGAGAGGCUGAUCGGCCACACUGGAACUGAGACACGGUCCAGACUCCUACGGGAGGCAGCAGUAGGGAAUCUUCCGCAAUGGGCGAAAGCCUGACGCAGCAACGCCGCGUGUGUGAAGAAGGUCUUCGGAUCGUAAAGCUCUGUUAUUAGGGAAGAACAGCUGUGUAAUUAGACAUGGCCGUCUUGACGGUACCUACUCAAAAAGCACCGGCUAACUACGUG
This 497-nucleotide ribosomal RNA is filed under the name uncultured bacterium. RNAcentral describes it as "partial 16S ribosomal RNA". It matches the Rfam family "Bacterial small subunit ribosomal RNA", at positions 28 to 507 of the family's 1533-position model. The record is from RNAcentral.